ACUUAAAUUGAAGAGUUUGAUCAUGGCUCAGAUUGAACGCUGGCGGCAGGCCUAACACAUGCAAGUCGAACGGUAACAGGAAGCAGCUUGCUGCUUCGCUGACGAGUGGCGGACGGGUGAGUAAUGUCUGGGAAACUGCCCGAUGGAGGGGGAUAACUACUGGAAACGGUAGCUAAUACCGCAUAAUGUCGCAAGACCAAAGAGGGGGACCUUCGGGCCUCUUGCC
Molecule: ribosomal RNA, 226 nt
Filed under: Vibrio parahaemolyticus
Lineage: Bacteria; Pseudomonadati; Pseudomonadota; Gammaproteobacteria; Vibrionales; Vibrionaceae
Description: partial 16S ribosomal RNA
Rfam family: Bacterial small subunit ribosomal RNA
Source: RNAcentral